This 377-nucleotide unclassified non-coding RNA is filed under the name uncultured Enterobacteriaceae bacterium. RNAcentral's name for it is "contains 16S-23S intergenic spacer region". The record is from RNAcentral. Lineage: Bacteria; Pseudomonadati; Pseudomonadota; Gammaproteobacteria; Enterobacterales; Enterobacteriaceae.
UCCGGUUUAUAACCGGCAGUCUCCUCUGAGUUCCUGGCCGAACCAAUGGCAACAGAGGAUAAGGGUUGCGCUCGUUGCGGGACUUAACCCAACAUUUCACAACACGAGCUGACGACAGCCAUGCAGCACCUGUCUCACAGUUCCCUAAGGCACUCUCUCAUCUCUGAGAGAUUCUGUGGAUGUCAAGACCAGGUAAGGUUUUUCGCGUUGCAUCGAAUUAAACCACAUGCUCCACCGCUUGUGCGGGCCCCCGUCAAUUCAUUUGAGUUUUAGCCUUGCGGCCGUACUCCCCAGGCGGUCGACUUAACGCGUUAGCUUCGGAAGUCACUUCUCAAGGAAACAACCUCCAAGUCGACAUCGUUUACGGCAUGGACUAC